AGCUCGGCAGAGGUGGGGACAAAUGCCCAAAGCCCCGGGGCUGUGAAGGACGCCUGCCAGAGUCAGCACCAGCGGGGAGGGCUGUGUGCCCAUCACAGACGCGCAGCCCUAGCAUUUCUAAGAAAGAGGAAAACCAUAGCCCAGAGGAGGAGGAAGUCUUCUAAAGAGAGGGCCCGCGUCCGCAGCGAGGACAGCGCUCCGGUGACACUAGCUCUGGGGGACCACCAGUGUUCUAUAUAAUUCACUCAUUUGGACUCGAGCCAGACCGUCUGAG
Molecule: long non-coding RNA, 274 nt
Organism: Prionailurus viverrinus (fishing cat)
Lineage: Eukaryota; Metazoa; Chordata; Mammalia; Carnivora; Felidae
Exons: 3
Source: RefSeq, a predicted model, not a curated record